RNAcentral lists this ribosomal RNA (506 nucleotides) under uncultured bacterium. RNAcentral's name for it is "bacterial SSU rRNA". It matches the Rfam family "Bacterial small subunit ribosomal RNA", at positions 71 to 507 of the family's 1533-position model. The record is from RNAcentral.
UUCCUCGCUAAUGUUCGGAUUGUUUACCAAUGAUGCAAGUAAUUUAGUCAGAGUAACAAAGUAACGACUAGUUGUUUAAGUUAAAAGGUAGAUUUAAUAUUCUGGAUAUGAGCGAGGAAUGUCGGCGAGCGGCGGACGGCUGAGUAGCGCGUAGGAACAUACCCCAAAGUGAGGCAUAACCGCCCGAAAAGGUGGCUAAUACCGCAUAUUGUCUUCGGAUGAAAGCUUUUAGCGCUUUGGGAAUGGCCUGCGUUUGAUUAGCUAGUUGGUGAGGUAAGGGCUUACCAAGGCGAUGAUCAAUAGCUGGUUUGAGAGAAUGAUCAGCCAGACUGGAACUGAGACACGGUCCAGACUCCUACGGGAGGCAGCAGUUGGGAAUUUUCCACAAUGGGCGAAAGCCUGAUGGAGCAACGCCGCGUGCAGGAAGAAUGCCUUCGGGUUGUAAACUGCUUUUAUGUGCGAAGAAUAUGACGGUAGCAUAUGAAUAAGGGUCGGCUAACUACGUG